CCGCGGUAAUACGAACUGUGCGAACGUUAUUCGGAAUCACUGGGCUUAAAGGGUGCGUAGGCGGCUUCUUAAGUAGGGUGUGAAAUGUCCCGGCUCAACCGGGGAAUGGCGCUCUAAACUGGGUGGCUUGAGUGAGAUAGAGGUGUGCGGAACUUCCGGUGGAGCGGUGAAAUGUGUUGAUAUCGGAGGGAACACCAUUGGCGAAAGCGGCACACUGGGUCUCAACUGGCGCUGAGGCACGAAAGCCAGG
RNAcentral lists this ribosomal RNA (250 nucleotides) under uncultured bacterium. Its description in RNAcentral is "partial 16S ribosomal RNA". It matches the Rfam family "Bacterial small subunit ribosomal RNA", at positions 515 to 764 of the family's 1533-position model. The record is from RNAcentral.